This is a long non-coding RNA of Amphiprion ocellaris (clown anemonefish), 2737 nucleotides long. RefSeq lists it as uncharacterized. The record is from RefSeq and is a predicted model, not a curated record. The transcript is spliced from 4 exons. NCBI's taxonomy places the organism in Eukaryota, Metazoa, Chordata, Actinopteri, Pomacentridae.
UUUGUUCAGCAGAUUUAAAACAGCCACGCUGCUUAGGCGGCUUGAAAACAUAUGCUGAUCAAAUGCCAGGUCGUAAUCCUUCAUAAAAAUCGGGAUUUCAUGGAAAAUCACUAAUACACACCUACAGCUGGGACAUAAGGAGUUGCGUGCUUAUAGUGUGUAGUUUGAGUUACAUAUUGUACAUCUGUAUGUAUAUAUAGUUCUUAUGUGUGUGUGUGUGUGGGUUUUUUUGUCCCUAAUGUCAAUGAAUUUAAUUAUUGUGGUGUUUUACUUGCAAUACACUUUUCAUUUGGACAUUUAAAGUAGUUUGAGUCUGCUUGGUGACCUGAUGCAAAUAGCAUUUCUUGUGUGCUCUACAAGAAGCUACACUACCAGGCAAAAGUUUGGACCCACCUUCUCAUUCAAUGGUUUUUAUUUAAUUAUAUUAUGCAAUGUAGAUUAAUACUGAACACAUCAAAGGUAUAAAAGGAUACAUGUGGAAUUAUGUUGUACACAAAAAAGUGUUAAUCUUCAGUAUUCAUCUACAAUGUAGGAAAUAACACAAAUAAAUAAAAAGCAUUGAAUGAGAAGGUGUGUCCAAAUUUUUGACUGGUGGUGUAUGUGCAUGUUUUUGUCAUGUGUACACAUAGUUCCACAGCUGGAAUGUUUACCGUCCCCAGCUGAAGGAAUAUUUGCUGUCACUGCUGUUUCAUUUGCUACAAAACAGAGUGACGUAUAUCUUUCUUUUGACCUUCCUGCUGUUUUCUGUCUUCAGGCAAAAAUGUUAUCAGGAGGUUACUUUGCUCACAGCCUUAUCCAGUGAAUCCACUGCUACUACUAGGCAUGUCUAUCAGUAAAAUUACCAUCUCAAUAUCUGUGGGGCCCGACGGAGCAGAGACUACCUUGAAAUUCGUAAAAGGCUGAUGUGAUGAGGUAAUAAGUUGCUGUAAGGUGCCGCACCUUGUCAUGACAGCGCCUGACUCUACCUGCAGGCUACAUGCCUCAUCUUCUGGAAAAUGCUUUCACACAGCUGAGAUUAACAGCCAAGAUGACGAGACAUUUGAUCAGUGAUUGCAUUGUUUUAGCCCAGUCAGACUUUGUCAUCACACCAACCAAUCAAAACUUUACAGGACAUACUGUAUACAAGGUGUGUUAAUGUCUUUCUGUCCUAAAAGGCCUUCGUUGCAUGUUGCGCCUGGUGCCGAUGUGUUUAAUGACAUUUUGCCAUGUUUGAAAACGUGACACUUUAUACAUCCACGCUGGAAUAUGGCAAGAGCAGGGUUUGGAUUGUGAAAAAAGGAAUAGCAGGCAAAGCUGUAUUUUCAUUAAAGUGGCAUCAUGGCUGGAUUUACCUCUAAGUAAGGUGUGUUAAACAGAUGCUCAAGCUGUGGUCCAAAUGUUCCAAAUCAGUGUCUUGGUCUACAAAAGAAAGGAAAUCCUGCUCAAGGGGCUUGGCCAAGAACAACAGGACAAGAGAGCGCAAUAAUCAGUGGCAGCAGAAGCAGUAGUGACCGUGAUAUUGAUUUUAUUCCAUAAUUACACUUUCUGGAGGAAUUUGGACACAACAGAGAAGCAAAUAUAUAAUUUCAAUAAAUCAUUUGUAAUAUGAUGUUCCCUUCAUCACAACAAACCUGCAUAAAAUCAUUUCUUGAUGUCUGGAUGUAGGUGAUUUGUUUCAGUUUGACCAUAACGACUCAGUAAAGUGUUGGGUCUCCAGGAAAACAAACAGAAACAAGAGUGAAGUUAGCGUAUGUAUGAACUACAUAUGUGUGUCUGUGAGUGUGACUGAAAAAGCGUCCAGUUACAAUCUCUAUCUUACACAUGGGAAACCUGAGGACUGUUUGAGGCAUCUUUUUCCAACAGGCUGUGUGGAGUUUAAGCCAGUACCUGGUGAAACUCCAUCUCUGCGGGUUUAAUAUUUAAAGACUGUUGAGAGUUUAGUUCCCUGAAGAGAUCGGGAUCGACUCAUCCUUCUGGUCAGCAUAGCUGCACACAAACUGCACUGAAGCGCACUGAAGGCAUCUAAUAUGAAGAUUUCGGACUGAUCCAAAUGCAUAUGUGAGCUUACCAAGACUAAACACAGGAACAGCAGUGGACGGCCAACAAAUACAGUAAUAUACACAAUGUAUGUGAACUCCUCUGGAGCUGACAAUGGAUCUUAUUCACUGACGUUCCUGGGGAAGAAAGUUGGGAGACAUCACUCUGUGGCCCCUGCAGGCAAGCAACUGGCCUGGGAGACAACUGGCCGGUCGUCUUGCCCUCAGGACCCUGUGGUGUCCUCGCGGGCUGGUCAGGUCCCAGCGGCAGCGCAGGUGCUGGAAGAUUUACCAGGCAGCGUACCAGAGCUGAAGGAGGAGAGGCCAUGUCCAGUAAUUCACAACACACAAUCUGACCCGUACGAGGACAACGCAGCAGGUAUUUCUGGGAGGAAAGUAACAGCAUGACGACACGCCCACAUUCCUGUAUGAGGAAACAAAGAGGGGAGAGGGUGGGAUGUAGGAGAUAGACAAUGAUGAAAUACUCAGAAGAGGCCUUUUUACGAAACGGGUCAAUGUUUUAGACAAGACUGGGCAUGGUGAAGCAAUAAGCUGAAAAUGAAAAUAAACAGAACUAAGUUCUACAGUUACUGAAAUGACAUACAUUUAGAGUGUAGUGUUCAGAAAUGUAAAUAGACCUUAAACUGCAUGCCAGUCACUCAUCGUCAUCAUAAACAUGUAAACAUGUUUUAAACCUUAUAAAUAAAAUUUUAAUGGUUUCA